This 253-nucleotide ribosomal RNA is filed under the name uncultured bacterium. Its description in RNAcentral is "partial 16S ribosomal RNA". It matches the Rfam family "Bacterial small subunit ribosomal RNA", at positions 524 to 776 of the family's 1533-position model. The record is from RNAcentral.
UACGUAGGGACCAAGCGUUGUCCGGAAUCAUUGGGCGUAAAGAGCGUGUAGGCGGCGUGACAAGUCACUUGUGAAAUCUCCGGGCUUAACCCGGAGCGGUCAAGUGAUACUGUCGUGCUAGAGUGCGGAAGGGGCUACUGGAAUUCUCGGUGUAGCGGUGAAAUGCGUAGAUAUCGAGAGGAACACCUGCGGCGAAGGCGGGUAGCUGGGCCGACACUGACGCUGAUGCGCGAAAGCCAGGGGAGCGAACGGG